This 371-nucleotide ribosomal RNA is filed under the name uncultured bacterium. RNAcentral describes it as "bacterial SSU rRNA". It matches the Rfam family "Bacterial small subunit ribosomal RNA", at positions 527 to 896 of the family's 1533-position model. The record is from RNAcentral.
AGAGGGCUCAAACGUUGUUCGGAAUUACUGGGCAUAAAGCGCACGCAGGCGGCUUGCUAAGUCGGGUGUGAAAUCCCUUGGCUCAACCGAGGAACUGCAUUCGAUACUGGUAGGCUCGAGGACGGGAGGGGUAAGCGGAACUCCAGGUGGAACGGUGAAAUGUGUAGAUAUCUGGAGGAACACCGGUGGCGAAAGCGGCUUACUGGCCCGUAUCUGACGCUCAUGUGCGAAAGCUAGGGGAGCAAACGGGAUUAGAUACCCCGGUAGUCCUAGCUGUAAACGAUGGGCACUGGGCAGUGGGAUUCCUAUGAUUCUCCCUGCCGUAGCAAAUGUGUUAAGUGCCCCGCCUGGGGAGUACGUUCGCAAGGAUA